RNAcentral lists this non-coding RNA (21 nucleotides) under Caenorhabditis elegans. The record is from RNAcentral. Lineage: Eukaryota; Metazoa; Nematoda; Chromadorea; Rhabditida; Rhabditidae.
UCAUGCACGGCUAAAAAUUUC